RNAcentral lists this long non-coding RNA (3479 nucleotides) under Androctonus crassicauda. The record is from RNAcentral. Lineage: Eukaryota; Metazoa; Arthropoda; Arachnida; Scorpiones; Buthidae.
GGAGGUUAGAAAUCCGGUUACCUAGGUCUAGCUGUAUGACGGCGGCAAAGCUUGGCAAAGGUAAGAUCCGGCAGGCUAUGGUGGCCAUUGAUGUUAAGAAUCGGAUGCGCUCGGCCUCUUCUAAUAGUUCGCUGUGGAGAGGCUGACGUCACGGGCGACCUUCCGAAACAGAUCUUUCGAUGGAGAUGCAGUCGAACGGUUACGAGAAAUAAUUAUAUAUCGGCUAUACGGUUUAGGGCCGGGUUAAUGGUAGACGACGCACUGAAUAGGGCGCGCUCUUAACCGACGCCUCUUUUUUUCUUUCUUUCGGUGGAAGAGAAUAGCAACGCAACGACCUAGCUUUAUAAAAGCUAGAUAAGAAUAGAAAAUACCAGAAAUAAGAUUGUCUGCACGCUUUUCUUUUACGGGAUUAAUGUAGCGGCAAAAAAUUAUACCUUAUUGUUGGUUUAAGCGAAAAAUAUUCGCUGCUAAAAUAAACAGAGGCGGGUCAAUAACGAAAGAUUCUCUGUUGAUUUCGCGCAACUAUUUAAACAUUCUCCAUGGUUGAGAACAGUAUUGACACAAUGCUAGACUUUAAUGCAAAGAGCUUGUUUGCAUUUCUGCAAUUUAUUCGAUUCUUAUCGCCCAACCUAUCUGCCAUAAGUUCGGCUGUAAUCUGUUUUCUCUCUCUCUCUCUCGGUAGCGCUGUUCGACGGUUUAGCGUAUUAUCCAACGCUUUAAUCGCCUAAAUCAUAAAAUUAAUAGAGCGGAUAAGCUAAAAGACGUACGAUUCCGGCAUGCUUGUGGAAAAUUUUCUUGGACAAAAUUACUAGAAACGAUUACAUUUCUGUAAAAAUGAUAGGAAAAAUAUUUUCCAGCUUUUUUUUAACCCUUCCGAUUUUGGUAUUCGAAGUGUUUUUUUAAUAGAAUUUUUUCUUCGAUAUUCUAUGUUUGGUAAGCUUCUUGGAAACUGGAGUCGAGAGAAUAACGUCUAUUAUUUUUGAAAUCUAUUUUUGUUUCCUUAACUACGCGCUCUCCAUUACCGCUUUCCUCCUUCUUAAAAGCUAGAAAAGUAGAAUUUGAUUGAGGAAAAAGCCGGCACAGGGGGUGAAUCGUUGGCCGGCGCCUUCUAUUUUUACCUUUAUAAUUUUAAAAUAUGAAGGGAUUUUAGGCAAAUUUCUGCCAAAGUCGAUUAACCGUGUGUGAAACCGGUUUCGGGUUUGGUUCAUUAUAACAAUUUUUACCGCCCGCCUUUUUGGCACGGUGCCCCUGUACACGCUCCUAACCGUGGUAACUCGAACCGUGUCGAGUGUGUUAAGAUUAUUAAAGAAGAAGAAAAUAUUCUGUUCGGGAGAAAUUUAAAAAGAAAAAGUAAUUGCCAUCGAUAUAACAUUUCCUAAUCUCGGUCGAAGUAUUAGUUAUUCCAGUUGGUAAUUAGUAGAGGCUAUAGUGCGUCAUUCGCGCCUUUACAUCCCAUCUACGCUUUACAUUAAAACAUAAUUAAAUUUUAAAUCCGAGAAGGGAAUAUGUCGGCUGGGCGGUCGUCAUAGAAACGGUAGAUGCAGAGAGAAAGACGGCCUGGAUGUUUUUGUUUCGAGCCUUUUCGGAAAGAGCGGUCGACACGGAGGACGCAAUUGCAUCCAAUGGCUGGCAGCCAUUGGCAAGUAUACUAUGGCAACAAUUAUUAUCUGGAUGGCAGGCGGGAUGGUCACUGGGACACGUUAAUCCGUCUAUGGUUCCGUAUAAUAGAUGCCACGCUUCAAUUUCUAAAAGCAACAAAUUACCUCCGUCAGCCUACUACAUUCCGUUAAGCUUCAUCUUUUACUCUUUAAAAAUAAACAUCUCUCAUUUUUAUUCGUAUUUUAACUGUUGUAGUGUGUAUCGGUGCCCACUACCUACUUCCCAGCCAGUUGAAAAGAAAAGUGUUCCGGAAUUAAGGCAUUAAAUAUUUUCGCAAAUUCUUCAUUCUUCUAAAUUAUUAAAUAAAAUUGGAUAGAUUUACAUCAGAAAACAAACAAGUUUGUGUGUAUAUAUAUAUAUAUUUAAGGAAUUUUUAAAAUAAUUUUACCUGGUGGUCUUAUUUAAUUUUGGCAGGUAGUAUUUUAUUGGCUCGGACCGGGCCGGUAAAAGAAGAGAGCGCAAAUUCUUCCACGCGUAUCUGGCUAGAAUCGAUAAAAGACGUAAAUAGCUUUCAAACCCUAGAUGUGUCAUCCGUGGGCCUAGUCGGCCAAUCUGUAUCAUUUAUAUGGUAUUAAAAUAUAAAUUAAUCCAAAUCGUUGCUAUAAACCCAGAUACUCUUUCUCUGUCGCUUUAUAUAGAAUAGCUAAAUCCGUGCUAUUUUUUUUCUAUUUGAUUAUGUUUAAAUCAGUUUUUAAUGUCGGAAACAUUUUUAUAAUAAUAAAUUGUCCAGAUUUUAAUAAAAAAUCUUAUUAAAAUGUCUUAUUUGCCAAAAUUGUAUGGCAAACGGGAUAAAAUAAUUGGAAAAAACAUGUAAAACUGAGGCGAAAUCACCUUCACCUUUUGACGUAACGUGUAAAACAAUAGGCUAUACUGCGGUGAGUAUUUACACUGCCAGGAAAUUUCGCAACGAUUUUCUAUUAUUUAGCGGAAAUAAUGUGUGUUUUGUAAAUACAAAUCUGGUGUUUCUUUUCUAACCGUGUCUAGAUAUAGGCAAAAAAAAAAGAAAAGACGGUCGAGAAAUUACGGGCGAAACGAUACUUACCCGGUAAACGGUAAGGAAAGAUAAAGAAUGCGAUGGUAGAAAUGAAAUAUUUACGUCAUUUGUUUAAAAAUAAGAAAAUCGAGAAGUGUACUUUACUGGGAGUAGAAGGUAAUGUGGAUGAAUAUAGUCUCUGGCCAUGGAAAAUCGAUGGGAGAUGCAUUCCGAGAAGGAAUAACUUAUAAUAUUUAUCAUUUCAUUGGCCGUUCUAACCGACUUCUCUCUCGAAGAAAAAUAAAAUUAAUCCGAUUAAAAAUAAAACUUUCAAAUUUAAUGAAUAAUUUAAAAUGAUUCGCCUUUGGCUCGGCAUAAUUAAGCGCCAUUUUAAUUAGAAUAACCCAUCCGCGGCACGUUUUGGUAAACAAUUUUUUUCUUAAAAACGGAAAUGUAUAUUUUUUUUUUUUUUUUUUUUGUGCCCCCAUCACUGCGGGAGUUUUCUUUAAUCAAACAACAGGAUGAGGAUGGAAGAAUUACUUACUGGUGGUGGUAUAUUUUUUUAUAAAAUGUGUUGGCCAGCCACACCAGAAGAAAGAAACUGGAGUCUAAUGGUGGCUUUAAAGUCUGUUUUAUUUAUAUUUUAUAAUCGUUUUGAUAAAUCAUAACGCUCGAUUUGUUUUAGAAGCAAUUCUGGUGUCCAAUUUUGUGCCGGAAUAUAAAUAUUUAUAUUUUCUCUAAAUAUAUUUCUAGAGAUUUAAUGAGUGGCCAACAAAUAUCCGUGGUUAAGAAAAGAUUUUAAGUAAUUAUUCGUAUAAUUAAUCGUUUUUGGUGUUUUAGAUGGGUG